GCACAUGCGCAGAAUCAUCGUGGUGCACGGCUCUCCCUUUGCUUCUUCGGUUGCAGUCCUCUUGCUUCUUGCGCGUGCGUGUAGCGCUUUUGCAAAGCCGCGGAGGUGAAGUGAACUUAGAGGUUGUGGGGCCGAGGGGUCGUCUUAUAGCUACCAGCCCACAGGCAUUUAGUCUACGUUGGAGGUAAACAAAUACGGGUCCUGCUUAGGAGAAAAGAAAAACGUCUUACAGCCAGUGUCUAAACUCCAAACAACGGAAUGUAUCAAUGAGACCUUGUAUAUGGAUACACGUGCAUUUAAAACCGCCCUGCCGGCUUGUAGAGCUUUUGCCGUUCUCCAGCGCUUUACAGGGGUUAUCGCACUUAAGCCUCGGAACAACUUUACCAGAUGAGGACACCUGAGGUUCAGAUUAAGAAAUCUGCCCCAAAGUCUUAGAACUGGUAUUCUCCACUGGUUGAAUGCAAAUGGAAGCCAGAGGAAAAGGGAACCCUUGACACAGUUUUCAUAUAGAUUGGCCUCCAGGGCAGACAGCAGUUGCUCUGGCUAUAUCAAAUAAAAGUGUCAAGAGUGAGCAUCCUUGCCUUGUGCUGAAUCACAAAGGAAUACCUUUCAGUUUUUCUCCAUUGAUUAUGAUAGCAGUGGGCUUUUCACAGUGGGCUUUACUGUGUUGAGGUACCCUAAUGACAAGUUCACCCCAGUGUUUUCUGAGGAGUCUACCUGGAAAUGAGAACCAUCUGUCCUUCCUAUAGUAGUUCUUCUCAGAAUGCCGACUCUAUGCUAAUGGAGGAGGUCUGAUGGCCGGGAGGACAGGAAGAAGGAACCCACAAUGAAGCAAAAGUUGCGUUUAACUCUGUCCUCACCAUUCCUCUCCUGGACCUGUCCUAAACUGGAAGCUGGGGGAGGAUGGAGUGCUGGAAUGCUGCAGAAGUCUCAUGGGAGGGCGCCUGGUGUUCACCACAUGUGUACACUGUUGCACGACCAG
This 982-nucleotide long non-coding RNA is filed under the name Homo sapiens (human). RNAcentral's name for it is "non-protein coding DLEU1:10". The stretch from base 125 to 314 matches the Rfam family "Deleted in lymphocytic leukemia 1 conserved region 1". The record is from RNAcentral. Lineage: Eukaryota; Metazoa; Chordata; Mammalia; Primates; Hominidae.